Molecule: ribosomal RNA, 515 nt
Filed under: uncultured bacterium
Lineage: Bacteria
Description: bacterial SSU rRNA
Rfam family: Bacterial small subunit ribosomal RNA
Source: RNAcentral
AGAGUUUGAUCCUGGCUCAGGAUUAACGCUGGCGGCAUGCCUAAUACAUGCAAGUUGAAUGCCUGUAGCAAUACAGAAACAUGGCGAACGGGUGAGUAAUACAUAAGUAACCUGCCCUGAUGACGGGGAUAACACUUAGAAAUGAGUGCUAAUACCGGAUAAACCUACUAACAAGAGAUUGAUAGAAGGGAAAGGAUCGCAAGAUCGCAUUAGGAUGGGCUUGUGGCGCAUUAGCUAGUUGGUGGGGUAAAGGCCUACCAAGGCAACGAUGCGUAGCCGACCUGAGAGGGUGAACGGCCACACUGGAACUGAGACACGGUCCAGACUCCUACGGGAGGCAGCAGGUAGGGUAAUUUUCGGCAAUGGGCGAAAGCCUGACCGAGCAAUGCCCGCGUGAACGAAGAAGGUCUUCGGAUUGUAAAGUUCUUUUAUAAGGGAAGAAAAAAUAGGAUAGAAUCUUAUAUAUUGACGGUACCUUAAGAAUAAGCCACGGCUAACUACGUGCCAGCCGCAGC